AGGAUUAACGCUGGCGGCGUGCCUAACACAUGCAAGUCGAACGAGGUAGCAAUACCUAGUGGCAGACGGGUGAGUAACGCGUGGUCAACCUACCGUUGAGUGGGGGAUAACUAGCCGAAAGGUUAGCUAAUACCGCAUACGAGUUUCGGGGGCAUCCCUGGAUCUUAAAAGGAGCAAUCCGCUCGAUGACGGGACCGCGUCCCAUUAGCUAGAUGGUGGGGUAACGGCCUACCAUGGCACCGAUGGGUAGCUGGUUUGAGAGAGCGACCAGCCACACUGGGACUGAGAAACGGCCCAGACUCCUACGGGAGGCAGCAGUGAGGAAUUUUCCGCAAUGGGCGAAAGCCUGACGGAGCGACGCCGCGUGUGGGAAGAAGGCCUUCGGGUCGUAAACCACUGUCGAAGGGGACGAUAAUGACGGUACCCUUGGAGGAAGCCCCGGCUAACUACGUGCCAGCAGCCGC
This 464-nucleotide ribosomal RNA is filed under the name uncultured bacterium. RNAcentral describes it as "SSU rRNA". It matches the Rfam family "Bacterial small subunit ribosomal RNA", at positions 26 to 518 of the family's 1533-position model. The record is from RNAcentral.